Molecule: ribosomal RNA, 500 nt
Filed under: Xanthomonas sp. SCB27
Lineage: Bacteria; Pseudomonadati; Pseudomonadota; Gammaproteobacteria; Lysobacterales; Lysobacteraceae
Description: bacterial SSU rRNA
Rfam family: Bacterial small subunit ribosomal RNA
Source: RNAcentral
UGAUCAUGGCUCAGAGUGAACGCUGGCGGUAGGCCUAACACAUGCAAGUCGAACGGCAGCACAGGAGAGCUUGCUCUCUGGGUGGCGAGUGGCGGACGGGUGAGGAAUACAUCGGAAUCUACUUUUUCGUGGGGGAUAACGUAGGGAAACUUACGCUAAUACCGCAUACGACCUACGGGUGAAAGCAGGGGACCUUCGGGCCUUGCGCGAUUGAAUGAGCCGAUGUCGGAUUAGCUAGUUGGCGGGGUAAAGGCCCACCAAGGCGACGAUCCGUAGCUGGUCUGAGAGGAUGAUCAGCCACACUGGAACUGAGACACGGUCCAGACUCCUACGGGAGGCAGCAGUGGGGAAUAUUGGACAAUGGGCGCAAGCCUGAUCCAGCCAUACCGCGUGGGUGAAGAAGGCCUUCGGGUUGUAAAGCCCUUUUGUUGGGAAAGAAAUCCAGCCGGCUAAUACCNGGUUGGGAUGACGGUACCCAAAGAAUAAGCACCGGCUAACUU